GUCGAACGCUGGCGGCGUGCUUAACACAUGCAAGUCGAGCGGAGCGGCGCACGGGUGAGUAACGCGCGAGUAACUGCCCCCCUCUCUGGGAUAAAAGUUGGAAACGGCUGCUAAUACCGGAUAGUGGGGGAUGACUCGGGUCCUAUCAGCUGGUUGGUGGGGUAGUGGCCUCCCAAGGCGACGACGGGUAGCCGGCCUGAGAGGGCGACCGGCCACAUGGGGCUGUGGUACGGCCCAAACGCCAACGGGAGACAGCAGGGGGGAAUAUUGCACAAUGGGGGAAACCCUGAUGAAGCAGCGCCGCGUGCGGGAUGACGGCCUUCGGGUUGGAAACCGCUUUCAGCCAAGACGCGGUAGUGGCAGAAGAAGCACCGGCUAACUACGUGCCAGCAGCCGCGGUAAUAC
This 405-nucleotide ribosomal RNA is filed under the name uncultured bacterium. RNAcentral's name for it is "partial 16S ribosomal RNA". It matches the Rfam family "Bacterial small subunit ribosomal RNA", at positions 28 to 526 of the family's 1533-position model. The record is from RNAcentral.